This is a non-coding RNA of Salmo salar (Atlantic salmon), 54 nucleotides long. The record is from Rfam. Lineage: Eukaryota; Metazoa; Chordata; Actinopteri; Salmoniformes; Salmonidae.
UGCAUUCACUACUGUAAGUCGCUCUGGAUAAGAGUGUCUAAUAAAUGACAAAAA